AUUGAACGCUGGCGGCAUGCUUUACACAUGCAAGUCGAACGGUAACAGGCCGCAAGGUGCUGACGAGUGGCGAACGGGUGAGUAAUGCAUCGGAACGUGCCCAGUCGUGGGGGAUAACUACUCGAAAGAGUAGCUAAUACCGCAUACGAUCUAUGGAUGAAAGCGGGGGACCGUAAGGCCUCGCGCGAUUGGAGCGGCCGAUGUCAGAUUAGGUAGUUGGUGGGGUAAGGGCUCACCAAGCCAGCGAUCUGUAGCUGGUCUGAGAGGACGACCAGCCACACUGGGACUGAGACACGGCCCAGACUCCUACGGGAGGCAGCAGUGGGGAAUUUUGGACAAUGGGCGCAAGCCUGAUCCAGCAAUGCCGCGUGCAGGAAGAAGGCCUUCGGGUUGUAAACUGCUUUUGUACGGAACGAAACGGCUCUGGUUAAUACCCGGGGCUAAUGACGGUACCGUAAGAAUAAGCACCGGCUAACUACGUG
Molecule: ribosomal RNA, 482 nt
Filed under: uncultured bacterium
Lineage: Bacteria
Description: partial 16S ribosomal RNA
Rfam family: Bacterial small subunit ribosomal RNA
Source: RNAcentral